Molecule: ribosomal RNA, 499 nt
Filed under: uncultured bacterium
Lineage: Bacteria
Description: partial 16S ribosomal RNA
Rfam family: Bacterial small subunit ribosomal RNA
Source: RNAcentral
GAUGAACGCUGGCGGCGUGCCUAAUACAUGCAAGUCGAGCGAACAGACGAGAGUGCUUGCACUCUCUGACGUUAGCGGCGGACGGGUGAGUAACACGUGGGUAACCUACCUAUAAGACUGGGAUAACUUCGGGAAACCGGAGCUAAUACCGGAUAAUAUUUAGCUUCGGAUGAAGCAAUAUUGAAAGACGGUUCUGCUGUCACUUAUAGAUGGACCCGCGGUGUAUUAGCUAGUUGGUGGGGUAACGGCUCACCAAGGCAACGAUACAUAGCCGACCUGAGAGGGUGAUCGGCCACACUGGGACUGAGACACGGCCCAGACUCCUACGGGAGGCAGCAGUAGGGAAUCUUCAGCAAAGGACGAAAGUCUGACGGAGCAAUGCCGCGUGAGUGAAGAAGGUGUUCGGAUCGUAAAACUCUGUUGUAAGGGAAGAACAAGUACGUUAGUAACUGAACGUACCUUGACGGUACCUGAACAGAAAGCCACGGCUAACUACGUG